RNAcentral lists this ribosomal RNA (361 nucleotides) under uncultured bacterium. RNAcentral describes it as "bacterial SSU rRNA". It matches the Rfam family "Bacterial small subunit ribosomal RNA", at positions 29 to 416 of the family's 1533-position model. The record is from RNAcentral.
AACGAACGCUGGCGGCAGGCUUAACACAUGCAAGUCGAACGGGCGUAGCAAUACGUCAGUGGCAGACGGGUGAGUAACACGUGGGAACCUUCCUAGGGUACGGAACAACUCAGGGAAACUUGAGCUAAUACCGUAUACGUCCGUAAGGAGAAAGAUUCAUCGCCCCUAGACGGGCCCGCGUCGGAUUAGGGUAGUUGGUGGGGUAACGGCCUACCAAGCCUACGAUCCGUAGCUGAUCUGAGAGGAUGAUCAGCCACACUGGGACUGAGACACGGCCCAGACUCCUACGGGAGGCAGCAGUGGGGAAUCUUGGACAAUGGGCGCAAGCCUGAUCAGCCAUGCCGCGUGAGUGAAGAAGGCC